RNAcentral lists this transfer RNA (63 nucleotides) under Sinomicrurus peinani. RNAcentral's name for it is "tRNA-Asp". The record is from RNAcentral. Lineage: Eukaryota; Metazoa; Chordata; Lepidosauria; Squamata; Elapidae.
GAGAACCUAGUAAACACAUUAUAUGGCCUUGUCAUAGCCAAGUCACAGUCUCUGUGGUCCUCA